AAACUUCUAUCAGGACAAACAUCACCCAGACUGAUGUGGUUGGUCAUUAAAUGGGACUGCCAGUACCAACCCCUCCAGUCCCGGUCCUAUCAGUGAAGUAGGGGAGACAGAUGGCCAGACGGUGGCAGGGGAUGCAGCUGACCACCCCCCUGACCAUGAGACCAUGCAUGAGGGGGAGAUGAUACCUGUGGACUGGAAGUGGCUGGUUCUAGACGGUCCAGUGGAU
Lingula anatina is the source of this 226-nucleotide long non-coding RNA. Lineage: Eukaryota; Metazoa; Brachiopoda; Lingulata; Lingulida; Lingulidae. The record is from RefSeq and is a predicted model, not a curated record.